AUGAACUUCAGGAAAGGUGAAGUUGUCGAACACCCGGCACCACUUGAGAUGACGGGUGAACAAAUUCGUGAUGAAUUAAAUGCUCUCCAGCCCGAUCCCAACCGUCCAGGGUAUUUCCUGGGAUAUAAUGAACUACACGCUUGGACUCACAAGCCAUGCUUCUGGGAUCUCCCCUACUUCCACCAGCUCGAGCUUCCCCAUAACAUUGAUGUAAUGCACACUGAAAAGAAUAUCGCCGAGGCCAUUUUUAGCACACUAUUCAACAUUCCCAAGAUGACAAAGGAUAAUACUAAGGCCAGACUUGAUCUGAUGAAGCUAUGUGAUAGACCCAAACAAAACUUGCGGCAACCCAUGGGCCGGAAAAAUUGGACAAUGCCACAGGCUAGGUUUGUUCUUACAAGGGAACAAAAGAAGGAGAUACUCAUGUGGUUCAAAAAUUUGUUGUUCCCCGAUGGGUAUGCAGCGAAUCUAAUGAGGGCACUGAAUCUUGAUAAAUUGAAGCUUUGUGGGUUGAAGAGUCAUGAUUGGCACAUAUAG
This 537-nucleotide ribosomal RNA is filed under the name Triticum aestivum (bread wheat). Its description in RNAcentral is "partial small subunit ribosomal RNA". The record is from RNAcentral. Lineage: Eukaryota; Viridiplantae; Streptophyta; Magnoliopsida; Poales; Poaceae.